UCUCGUUUGGGAUACCUGUGUUCCUUGUAUCCAAGAUGGCGGACGAGCACAUCGCAAGAAAGCACUGGAGAUGUACUCUAGAAAGAGCCGAGAAAUUCGUCUCGAAGCAGUUCUUCUCGGAUAUUAACUUAUACAGCAGGCUCUACAGCAAUAAGGCACCUUUGACAGCUGUAACUCACUUUGCCGCACCAGGGCGUAUCACAUAUAAGCAGGCCAUAAGAGGAGAGUACAGCCCUGUAAAAGUUGGUGAUGCUUUUGGUCCUACGUGGUCAACACAUUGGUUUAAAGUGACUAUUGAUGUGCCAUCUGAGUGGGCAGAAAAGGAAGUACAUCUGAGAUGGAACUCUGGUUCAGAAGCAAUGGUGUGGAAAGACGGAAAACCUCUCCAGGGCUUGACGGGGGCUGAUGGACACCAAGAGCGUACUGAUUGUAUCCUCUCAACUUGCCAAGCCAGCAGUGAAAGGAGAUAUGUUCUAUAUAUCGAGAUGGCUGCCAAUGGGAUGUUUGGAGCUGGUCAAGAUGGUCUAAUAAAUCCCCCUGACCCCGCCCGGAAGUACUCACUCUCAAUGGCCGAAAUUGCUGUGUUCGACCCUCUCUGCUAUCAGCUGCUCACAGAUUUAAAUGUCAUCAUUGACAUGGCGAAGCAUCUUCCAGAAGGAAGCCCACGCUCAUUUGAUGCGCUCUACACUGCCAACAGAAUAGUGAAUGCUUGCGAUACAAAGGACAGGAGAACAUUUGAGAAGGCACACGAGAUUGCGCAAGAGUUUUUCUCCCAGCAUAAUGGCACCUCUCAGCACCAGGUCUACGCCGUUGGCAACUGUCACAUCGAUUGUGCUUGGUUAUGGCCUGCUGCCGAGACAGUGCGCAAAUGUGGGCGGAGCUUUGCUACAGCUGUCCAACUCAUGAAGAAGUACCCUGACUUUAAGUUCGCUUGCUCUCAGGCUCAGCAGUUAGAAUGGGUAAAGAUUCACUACCCAGGUCUUUAUGAAGAAAUCAAGAAAUUUGUCGCUAAUGGUCAAUUUAUUCCUGUUGGAGCAACAUGGGUUGAAAUGGAUGGGAACAUUCCAAGUGGAGAGUCGUUUAUCAGGCAAUUUGUUGUAGGACAGCAAUUCUUCAAAGAGGAGUUUGGAAUGAUGUGCAAAGAGUUCUGGCUGCCAGAUACAUUCGGCUAUUCAGCGCAACUCCCACAGAUCAUCACUGGUUGCGGAAUUAAGUUUUUUCUUACCCAGAAGUUAAGCUGGAGUCUGAUCAAUAAGUUCCCUUUUAGUUCUUUCUUCUGGCAAGGGAUUGAUGGAUCAAAAUGCCUGACACACUUCCCUCCGGCCGAUACGUACGAGUCAAGAGGAGACGCAAAAGAUGUUUUAAAGACUUCAAGUAACUUGAAAAACAAGGGCCGGGUGCAUGGGAGUAUGCUGUUGUAUGGUCAUGGCGAUGGUGGCGGGGGGCCAUCAGAAGACAUGAUCGAAAUGCUGAAGCGAAUGGAAGAUGUCGAUGGUUGUCCCAGAGUUAAACUCUCGAGUCCGCAUGAAUUUUUCACCGCUGUAGCAAAACGUGAUUCGUCGAGUUUGUGCACGUGGGUAGGGGAGCUGUACUUGGAGCUACACCAAGGGACAUUUACCACACAGGCAGAGAUUAAGUCUCUCAACCGUCGAGGGGAGUUCUUGCUUCAUAACGCUGAGCUGGUGACCUCACUUGUCUGGGCUCUCGGCGGGAAAACAGCAGACCUCUAUCCAAGUCAGAAACUUUUAAAGGUCUGGAAACUCUUUCUGCUUAACCAGUUCCACGACAUUCUCCCUGGUACCUGCAUCCGAGAGGCUAUAACGGAAGCUCUAGAAGCCUACGAAGUUGUGAAGUCUACUGCUACAGAAAUUUUCCAAGAUGCCACGCACAAGUUGAUCUCGCUGGCUUGCAAAAGUACCAAGCUGUCAGCCAAGCCUAUCAUUGUAAACACUCUUGGAUGGGCCAGAGACGAGUGUGUCAUCAUACCAGAUGCUUUGGUGCCCAAUCUCACGGACCGCGCGAUACACAGGCAGACCACGAGUGAUGGUAAAACAUUAGUUCGCUUGCAUGCUGAUCCAUACUCGAUUGGACCGCCGCAAACAGCAUCCAACGUGCCUGUUUCUGUCACAGAAAAUGAGGUUCCAGGCCAAGUGACCUUAGAAAAUGAGUUCGUCCGAGUAAGGCUGGAUGGAGUUGGUCGUGUUGUGUCCCUUGUCCACAAACCCUCCCAAAGGGAAGCUAUCCCAUGUGGUUCCCAUGGCAACCAGCUUGUCCUGUUUGAUGACGUGCCUCUAUUCUGGGACGCUUGGGACGUCAUGCCGUACUACCUCGAGACACGAAAACCAAUCGUUGAGUCGACGAAGCAGGAUAAUUGCUUACGAGUACUUGACCGUGGUCCUUUGCGGGCGUCUGUUGAGUUCUCAUUGAGGAUCAGUGCUAACAGCUCCCUGACCCAGCUGGUCACGCUUGACGCCUCACUGCCUUACGUGACAUUCAACACCAAGGUGGACUGGCACGAGAACCGUAAAUUUUUGAAGGUGGAGUUCCCUGUUGACGUGCAUUCAAUGAAUGCAACAUAUGAGAUACAGUUUGGGCACCUUCAACGCCCCACCCACUGCAAUACUAGCUGGGACUGGGCUAAAUAUGAGGUUUGCGGACAGCGGUGGUGCAAUCUGUCUGAGCACAAUUGGGGCGUGUCGUUGAUGACUGACAGUAAAUAUGGCUACUCUACCCACGGCAGCACCAUGUACAUAUCACUGCUGCGAUCGCCCAAGGCCCCGGAUAACCAGUCUGACAUGGGACGCCACCAGUUUGCUUAUGCCGUGUUUCCUCACAUAGGGUCAUUCCAGGACUCAGGUCUGAUCAGACAUGCACAGUGCUUUAACGAGAAGCUCCACGUCAUCUGUUGCAGCGUGGACGAGGGUUUUGAGAAGCAGUCGUUCUUCAGUGUUGACAACCCUGCGGUCGUGCUAGAAACCGUGAAAAAGGCCGAAAAUGUGGACGCGCUGAUUCUGCGCAUGUACGAAGCUUUUGGCGGGAAAACUCGCGCGCGGCUAACAACAAAACUAAACGUGACAAAAAUACAGAGGGUCGACCAGGCUACGUUUGUCGCCCACGUCAAGACGCAAGAAUCACAGACAGACCACGUAUAAAGGUCUCGCUAGUUGCUCAUCUAUCUACAACAGGCAACGUCUCACCGAAACCUUCAGGAUAGAUAACACAUUCACUGAAAAAACCUUGACGUCGCAGACGAAUCGAGGCAUUGUGCCGCUGACCUGGUGGCCUUGGUGGUUAACGUAUGACGCGAGACUCUUUGGAUCGUACGCAAGAUAAACUUAUAUAUUCUACGCCAAGAAAAGCCAAGAAAGGUCUUCUAUAGCCACCCCCAACGCCCGGUAACCGUCAGAUUUAGUGAUACACUUCUUGGAGUACUCUAGAUGCCACUAGAAAGCUCUAAAAGGCAAAGAAAUGGGCAGGGGUGAGAACGGGGGGUAUUCCAUUAUAGAAUUCUGUAUCUGCUCCUAAACUACAGUGACGUCACAAUAUGCAGCGACGUCACGACGACAGCCUUGAUCCCACGCAGAGGUGAGGUCUGGCUUUUCUGAAUGAUGUUACAGUACCGCGAACAAGUUUAAAAAAAUGAGUAUUAUUUUAGUAUUAAAUAAGGCAUGUACUCCAAUAAUUCAAUUAAAUUUAAUUACUUUAAUUAAUAUAUAACGAAAAAUACAGAUGCUGGUAUAUAUCCCUAUAAGUUAUAAGAUUCUAUUUUCCUUUUUGGGAGUUAUGAUACAGAUAUUCGCAAAAAGUUUCACUACGCAAACCAAGACGAAACCUGGUGUAAAAAGUGUAAAAUUAUCUCGCUAAAAGGGUUUAAACAGGUUGAAAACGUUGUUUACACCUUAAUAAUGUGAGAAAAUGUUGUCGGGCUUUUGUUAGACACUCAGCUUUUUGCCCCAAAAUGCAUACUAUUUCUGUAACAUUUUAGUUUCUAGUACACAACAAUAUUGUGUGAUUCCGAAAACUACCCUUAACCACCAGGGAGGGAAUGGGAGAUUUCGGCGGAUGAAAGAUGUUUGGAUUUUUUCUGUAAUCACAUCAAUUAGCAUUAUCCAUAUCUCAAUGUUUUCUAACGACCCUAUGCCUUCGUUCGAUUUGGUGUAGUGCCGGUAUAAUAGACGCUUUGCAUUUCUUGUAUUCAUUGCUCUCGCUGCCAGUUAUGACGGGUUUCCACGCACAGCUAAGUCCAUGCUCACCGCAAUACAGAUAGCCUUCGCUACAGUGCGAAUCCAGUAUAAGGCCGCCUGUAACAUCAAAUGGUUAUCAGCAUAUUUCGUAAGGGUUUCUCCUUCCUGACCCCCUCCCCUUACAGAUAAAUUUUGUGAAUAACUUUAGUACCCGCAGUGCUAUCCAAAAUAGCACUAAGCUUUUUAGAUUCCUCUUCCAACAUGGUUACAGGAAACAAGAUAGGCAACAUUUCCAACAUGAUCAUUUCGAUCAAGUGACGAGACUUCAAUCAUGGAAGGGAGGAAGCCUACCUGUAGGCUACGGCCUACGAACUCGCGAACUCCAUGUUUUCAGGGUUUUCGUGCCGGAAAAACGAUCAAAGCCUACAGGUAGGCUAAAGGGUAGGUAGCUCGAUAUUUUUAUCAUGCACAAACUUAUUGGUAAGUGGUCGUCUGUUAUUAUUGUCCUAGAUGCACGAUAUUCCCAUAGUGGGCGAAAUCAAGCAAAAUUCGUGCUCGUCUCGAUGACUUUUUGUCCAGGGCACGCUGUGAGUUUUUUUUCUAUUUAUUUUAGGAUAAGUAAACACAAUAUGUAUUUUCAAAUUCAGUUUUGUAAUAGCAAAAGAGUGUCUGCAUGAUCGACGCUUUUUAAUUUACCUGGCCCGAGAAAGCUGCAAGAAGUAACUCGACAUCGACAACUCUCCCCAUAGACGCUUUGCACGCCGAGCCUCUGCGCCUGCGUCACCUGUUGCCAUGGUGAAGUCCAAUGACAGGACGAGAUAAAAAGUUUCCCAUCAUCCACCAGGCCAGCCAACAGGUAGUCCGUACCAGCGCGUAGCCACCCUGGGCACGGCGAUCUAUCCGCGUAGAUCUGUUCAGAGACAUCUCUUUUGUGAGUAGACAUUUAUUGGGUUUGAUGAAUUUACCCGCUUUCACCGUCGCUCGCAUUACUACAAAGUGGAUACAGGGUUAAAACCGACGAUGAAUAAGACCGAUAGUCCUUUUUUUCUUUAAUAGCGGGUUUGUAAUCCCACCAGACCAACCCCUGCAUCCGACUUGACUUGCCACGCCGCUUCGCUGAAAUCGUUGUCGCCGCAAAGCUCGGAGCCUCUGGUACCCGGGGUAGCAUUGCACUUAUUUUCGAGUAAAUCUAACUUCUUGGCUACCAUUUAUAAUCACACAGCGAUCUGCUUGGAGACAGCUCUUUCGCACAUUGCAGAUUUCAGAGUGACUUUUUGUGCAAAACAUUCCAAUCACACAUGCACAUCAAAAAAAGAUUGACGGGGAUGUGCUAGGUUUAUAACAUAUUUCUACUAAGUUUGCCCUCGCGUGUGCAGGUGCGCAUUUGUGUGGGAGCGGAGGGAAAGACAAAAUAUUGCUAUUGAAUAACUUACUUUGACAUUAUGAACCAAUGGGUUGCCCUCCUCCGGUUGCUUAGCGACCGGUUUCCCUGCCUUGCUCACAAGCCCUGCACCCUUAAAAAUCUGCGUAACCAUGACAACGUGCACCAGAACGUCCCGCUGCUUGGGCCAAUGACGGAAUCCUCGGCUUUGCGGGGGGUAUGUGAUGUAACCUUCCACUGGGCCAGACUCCACGCGACCGCGCACAACUGUGAAAUAGAGAUCAGCAUUUGAAUCAUCGUGAUUCUACGCAUCGCACAACCAUGCAUUCAUGCGUCCUUCUCUACGUCACAUCACCCCUCUUCUUUGCAAUUUUUCUUUGAGCUUUUUAAUCUCCCUCAACCUGUUAACCCUUAUCAUGCAAGUUGCGCGACAUAAGUCUUCGUGCAAACUGCGCAAUAUCGCAAUAUCGGGGAUGGAUCUUUGUAGGCAAGGAUGCAUUUAUUUUUUCAAAGAUUGGGAGGACAAUUUUGGCGUGAAAUAAAGAUUCAUCAAUCGCGAAGUUUGACAGAUCAGUUUUAAGCCAAAAAUUCGUGUGCUUUAAGUUGGAGUAUUGUUAGGUAUUGCUGUAGAUUUAGAAAAAAAAUCACGCAGAUUUCGGGAUUUUUAUUUUAAUAUAAAAAAAUUGCUUCCUUUUAACUUGCAUGACAAAAAAUAAUUUGAUUUCCAAGAAGAGUGAAUCUAGCGCAAUCUGAUAAAGCAUAGAUGUAUUAAUAAAAUCUGAAAAAUUUACGAAAAUCGCGCCGAAAAUGAGUCUUCUGUAGGGAACAUAGUAUAUAAGCUGUUUAGCCAAAACAACCUCGGCGCGCCACCUUAAACGCUAUAAAAGCGUUUGAUGGUCUUCGAGUUACGUGCGCCUGGGGUCACGAGUGUCAGCGGAUUCUCGGAUUACCUAACAGGUGUUGUAAGGAUAGAUCUUCACUCUGCAAAUGACCCCAGACUUCGCAUACAGUGUUUUUUUUUUUUAAGUUCUAAUAUCAAUGAGUGAAUAGAGACUAAUCCCUGAAAAGGUUGUAAGUUUUCGUUUUGACCCUAACACAGUCGCGCAAAAUGUAAAAACAACAUUACUUUGCUAUAAAAAAACUCAAUAUACACAUGUUCACGCCUACAAAUUCGUGGCUAUUAGAUGUAAUUUUGUCACUUUUCGUUGUUAUCCUUUUUUCUACUGUAAGUGUAGUAAUAAAAUACAAAUGUAAAAUCCCCAAUAUAUUGGUGAAACACAUGAUUUAUUCGUGAACAUAGAACUAGUUUCAGAGUCGUAUUUCUGUGCUAAAUUUCGCCGUCAAAUCGUAAAGGUCAUAAGCGCGAUAAGCUCUGCACCGUAGCAAAACAUUAGUAUGGGACAGUAGCGAGUAUAAUGAAAAACGAGACAGUUAUGGAACCAGAAAUAAAUGUAUAAUCUAGUAUACAUCUCUGAGUAGAACCAGACGUUUUGCCUCGGUUAUAGUUGUAAAGUCUAGUUAGACUGAUUUUACCUCGAUCAAUUACUAAAUAAAAUGCUUUUCUCUUACCAAAGUCUGCUUGGCAGAACUUGUCCUGUGGGUGACUUCCCAUUUUACAAACGCACGCUUUGCCUUCAGUCAGGGCAGCGAAGACCAAGAGGACUGUCAAACCUAAAGCCAUGUUUGACAAUUCCCCAGGUCCGGCUAUCGCGCAAAGAGCUCGUCUGAUACCUGUCUUAGCCCAUAGGGAGUGGCGAAUUGCGGUACUUAAAGAAUAUUCUCGCAAAUGAUCCUCUUCUCAAAGUGUCGAUAGAUUAAGCGCGGAAUUCGUUCUAACUUAGCGUUGAAUGCAAUAGUUGUUUUCCUCGUGUGUUCAAUGAAUGACAAACCACUACCAUGUUAAUGGACACAAGACGAAAAAUCCACCGUUAUGUUAUAUCAUUUUAGAGAGUCCGACUCAUCUUAUGUGUGACCCAACACAGUCUCAAGAGGAGUAAAAAAAUGUGACUUCUACGAACGUGUCGUGUCUGUACUCCAAUAACACCGCAUGCUCAAUACGCCGAACCGGCUUUCGACCUUGUUGACAUGCAUUAGCCCCAAAUUUUUAACAAGCUUAAAUAGAAUAUAGCUUCUAUCUGGCGCGUGCGUUUUCGUGUAGGUUUCACAAUUUUCGUCAAGUUCUCCCUAUCAUUUUGGCGGCCACUUUUGUAAAAUUCAUGAUAAUGUUUUUAUACCAGGCCCCCUCCCUACCCCCCUUCUUCUUUUCCCUGCCCCCCCUUUGCUCCCCCGCUAAUUAUGCGAGUCCAUCCUAAAGUGGAAAGAAUGCUCAGUGAACGAGGUAAUAUAUAGUCAAGAGAAACGAACAAUAGUUCGAAUUCACGGGGAUUUCUGAGUUGAAAAUGACUGAGAAAUACAAAUUUCUAAAGGUUAUAUAGAGAAUUUCAACAUCAUAGAGACGAACGUAAUCCUUUAGAAAUUAUUAAAUUAUUUGCGAAUGAUUUUGAUAAGUUUGGAAGGGUCGCGUUUUGCUGCACGCGAAUUCGGCUUUUACCAUUUUGAAUUCAUUCUUUUGUGUCGGGUUCAUGUUGAACAAAACCACGCUCAGUGAACGCACGUAUAUGACCUGGGAAUGGGUGGAAGCUUUUCCGUUGCCAAUUUGCCGCCGGACAUGUAACAUGUACGCAUUUUCACCACGCAGCGGCAAAAGAUGUACGACACAUGUUUCAGUUUUUCACCUGACGAAAGCUUCACUUCAACCAUUGAUAGCCUGGUGACUACUACGGCCAUCUUCCCGUAGGGCACCCCUUAUAACACUAAAAGGUAGUGGGGGAGGGGGGGGUGAAGGUGAUCGUCGGCAAAAUCAAUUUUAACCCUAAGGGAUGGCACUUUGGGCGUGGUCAACAGACUUUCUUACCCCUCAGAGAUAGCAAAUUUGGUGUGGCAAAAGGAUUUUUUUUGCCCUAGUAGCAGAAUCGGAAAAAAACGUUAUAAACACCCCCUCAGGAAUAGCAAUUUUAUACCCUAAGAGAUAACAGAAUCGGAAAAAUCCUUCAACACCCCCUAAGGGAUGGCAGUUGGUCGAAAUUUUAUACCCUAAAAGAUGGGACGAUCACCCCCAUCUUCUUUUCUGGAGAGUCCCCCCCCCCGGGUUUUCUGACAGAUCCGGGUUUGGCACCGAAAAAUACUCUUUUAUUAAGCCCUCUCUCCAAGCACCCUAUAGAACCAAAAUGUUCAAAUAAGCCUUCUAAAGGUUGCACUUUGAGAAUUAGCAGUAGUCACCCGCGGUGCUUCAUGGGUAUCAAACAAAUGGACCAACAGGCGUCAAUAAAAACGUCAAUAAAAAGGGCAGGCGAAACCACAGGCGAUGACCAAAAAACUCAGUCGUUAUAUACCAUUUUUCUAUACCUAUGGGGCUCCGCGCGCGGCCUACGGCCGCCCUGGCUCCGCUAUUAACACUCGAUAUGCCUGUGGAGCAGGAUAUUAAAGCAUUUUUGUGUGCCUGUAAACUACAGUUUUCACAGAGCAGGAUUUAGACAUUUAUGGCGGAGCCAGCGCGGCCGCAGGCCUCGCGCGGAGCUCCAUAGGUAUAGAAAUAUGGUAUAGCUAUGCGACUUGGUUUUGUGGUCGUCGCGCGGUUACCCUGUGGUGUCACAAUCCAUCCAUCCAUCCAUCCAUCCAUCCAUCCAUCCAGUCAAUCAUGCAACUCCCAGACCCCACUCGAUCUUACGCUGUUGUGUGUUUUUUACCGCCUCGCUUUGUGCUGCAAAGUUCGUAUGUUCACAGAAGAAAGGCAGCUUGAAAAUAGUAUUUAAUGAGAAAAUAAGCGGAUUCAAAUCGGCUGAAGUUUUUGAGGAAACGUUUUGUCUGAAGUACGAGCCGAUGGAAAAUCCCGCCCGUGGCAGCAGCAGCAGCUAAAUUGAGGACGAAGAGGAGAGGCUCUACACAACCAUUCUAUAUUAAUUCACGUCUAUAUCUAUGCAAGGAGUGCCUGAGAGGAUUUGGAUUGAUGUCUGUUUUCAGCUAUAAAAAGCAUUCACUUGUGUUGACGAAUUCCUUGCUAGCAGAAAGAUAACGGUUUACAACAAAAAGCGAACACAACCUCUAGGCGACAAACAUAAUCGACCAAAAAAAACACAAUGCCAAGAAGAGUUUUUGACGAUGGU
This is an RNA transcript of Nematostella vectensis (starlet sea anemone), 9728 nucleotides long. It is a transcript of the gene named alpha-mannosidase 2C1, with no coding region annotated. Lineage: Eukaryota; Metazoa; Cnidaria; Anthozoa; Actiniaria; Edwardsiidae. The record is from RefSeq and is a predicted model, not a curated record. The transcript is spliced from 36 exons.